RNAcentral lists this unclassified non-coding RNA (331 nucleotides) under uncultured Gigasporaceae. RNAcentral describes it as "sequence contains 18S rRNA gene". The record is from RNAcentral. Lineage: Eukaryota; Fungi; Glomeromycota; Glomeromycetes; Diversisporales; Gigasporaceae.
CCCAACUAUCCCUAUUAAUCAUUACGGUGAUUCAGAAACCAACAAAACAGGACCACCGUCCUAUUUUAUUAUUCCAUGCUAAUGUAUUCAGACGUAAGCCUGCUUUGAACACUCUAAUUUUUUCAAGGUAAAGGUCCUGGUUUCCCACCACGCUAAAUAAAUAACAUGAUGGUUCCCCAGAAGGUAGAAAUUCCACACGCCAGUACAGACUAUUGCCCGACCAACGGUAGAACCCCGAAAUUCAACUACGAGCUUUUUAACUGCAACAACUUUAAUAUACGCUAUUGGAGCUGGAAUUACCGCGGCUGCUGGCACCAGACUUGCCCUCCAA